AGUGCACCAAAUUACAAGAAGUACAAUAGAAUGUGAUUCUUCGAUACAUCGUUAUAAUACUCCAAAUUAGAAGAUAUCUAAGAGCAUCAGUUCGUGGCAAACGCCUCGCUUUUUACCGACAUCGCCAGAAUGAGAAAGAGGUAACAGCUCUACUAGAAGCACAAGGAGGCGCCAUGAACGACAGGAUAAUGAAAGUUCACCAAGAUGCAAGUACGAUGUAAAUUACGUAGAUUAAUCGAUGGUGCGCCGUUAUCAGGAGUUUUCAUCGGCCAUUAGCACCAACUGCGACCAGUGUAAAACGUUUCACGAUGCGCGCAAAACACGUUUCCAUUAAAAGCGAAACGUAAAGUAUCGGUUAUCUUCACGCUUAGAAUACUUACUAAACCUUAUCUCCCUAUCUUCCACGAACGAAACGAAAAGUAUAUUGCCUGUCAUAAGCGUGAAACCAUUUUCUCCAUUUUUAUACAGGUACUUGGUAUGAGAUAUAACAGAUAGGAUAAGUCCGGUUAGAAAUAUUUAGAAGUGAGCAGCCAAACUGAAAGUUCCUAUUACAAUUUCUUUUUGUCGCGAGUUCGAUUGUUGAGUCAACUUGUCCAGUUCCACUUUUUGUAUAAUUUGGAUGUCAUGCUGGUUCUGCAAUUAUGAAACGAAGAUAAACGGAAAGGAAAGGCUAACUUGUUUCUCAAUAUAAUUUCAAACUUCGUUUCAACAUGUAAACUAAUUUUGAUACAAUAUAUAAAAAUUGAAAGUUUCUCUGAGGUUUUGUAGUUACGAGACGCAGCGUGUUUUCAUUGGAAGAACGUCAAAACACGCGAUGAAGUGCCAUUUUUAUAAAAAUUCCUUCUAAGGAAUGGAUAUUUAUUUCAUGAAGAUAUAGACUGUAAUGGCUCUUAAUGAAGAAGUUAUUUCUAAACGCAAUUAUGCGGUUAUAAUCGAGGCAGUAAAAUGAUGAAUUCUUAUGCUGUUCUGGAAGAGACAACAACGUGACAUAUUCUUUUAUCAUUCUACGAGUCUUUGUUCGCCAUCCUCCGAUGUAAUGACGAGGCUGAUUUGCAUAUUGGGACACAUAUUUGCGGAUGAUGGACAAAUAGUCGAUAUGGUAAUGGAUUAUAUUUGAACGUGACGCGACGAUCAGAAUUGUAAUUGAAAUACCUUGACAUUUUUACGAUUUAUGAAAUACGUAAAAGAAUAAAUUGGAUGUACCAAGGUCGAAUAUGUACAUAAUUUCCAGCGAAUAUUCAUAUAAAUUCUAUGAAUUAUUUGCAGUAAAUUAAUAGCAUUUAAAAAUUUUUAAUGAGGCGCGAUUUUCACGAUUGCAUUGGUCAAUUUUGAAAACAUUCUGAAAAUGGAUGUAAUUUAAUAGAAAUAUAUAUUUAUCCAAAAAGCACUAAUAACUAUCUUGAAUGUAUAAUCUAUGUAAAAUAUAUCAUAUAUUAUUUGUA
This is a long non-coding RNA of Bombus pyrosoma, 1442 nucleotides long. RefSeq lists it as uncharacterized. Lineage: Eukaryota; Metazoa; Arthropoda; Insecta; Hymenoptera; Apidae. The record is from RefSeq and is a predicted model, not a curated record. The transcript has 2 exons.